Molecule: long non-coding RNA, 7044 nt
Filed under: Mytilus galloprovincialis (Mediterranean mussel)
Lineage: Eukaryota; Metazoa; Mollusca; Bivalvia; Mytilida; Mytilidae
Source: RNAcentral
GAAACGACCAUCAUCAUUUAUCUUUUCCAACAUUAUUGCUGGAUUACACAUUUCUGUAAAAAAGAAUGAAGACAAUGAAAAAUUGUAAUGGCAGUUUUGUUCCUGUGAUACAAUGUUGUCCAUCCAUUUUGUUUUGGAAAAAAACAGAUGCUGAUAAAGCAGAUUAGCCUGAGUACAUGUACUUUAAAAGCUGUAAUUGUGAGGUAAUUAUUAAUUAAAAAAGAACCUUGAUAUGAUUUGAAUCAUUUGUUUCAGUAUUAAAAUCAGUUUGUCAACUUUUAUAUACUUGUGUCAAAUUAAACACAAAGCCAUGGUAAGCGAUGAAAUAUUUAAAUAUCAUAGCUCAACUACUAUGUACUGAUCAAUACAAAAGUUGAAAUGAGUUUAAAGGGUGUUACCAUGUACAUUGUACUACCCUUGUUAAGUAGCAAGUAAAUGUAGUCUUACUCUUACAUUGAGUGUUAAUGAGGAAACUCAAUUGAAAAUUGCACCUUUGAUAAAAGUUGUAUGUCACCAGCGGUAAAACUUAAGCUGAAUGUUCUUCGUAACAUCAUUUGUAUUUCAAAGUCAAUCAGUAAAAAAACAAUACUUAUUAACAAUGUUUUGUAUCUUCUUAUGUUGUUUGAUUUAGAUGGAGGAUGGAAGAAAGCAAACAGAAGCAAUAAAUACAAGUAAUUAUAAAAUUACACAUUUAAGAUUGACUUAUUGCAAUCACAUGUUGUCAUAUGUAGUAUUUUUCACAUGAUUUACAUUAAAGUUAUGUACAUAUGUAUAAAAAAAGGAAUUUGCAUCUAUUAUUGUUUGUUUAAAAGAGGAAAAAUAUGGUUUCCAAUGCUGUAACAAUUAAUUUAAAGUUAUACUAACUAGUGCUGACAAUUAAUGAUCCUCCUCAUUAACUAAAAAAAAAUGUGUUUUAAUAUAAAAAGAAAAAUUGGUAUGAUUGCAAAUGAGACAACUCUCCAUGUAAGAUCACAUGUGGUUGGUGUCAGCAACUUUAUUACUUACCAUUCAUGAUACAAAUCUAACAAACUAUAAAGAGUCACAAAAUGACUUGGAUAAAACAAUUUAAACAAGAAAAGAAAAAGGCUUGUUGUUACUAAGUUUACUUGCUGAUAUGAAUAAGCCAUCAUACUAAGAGGAAGAAGUGUCUGGUCAUGCAUGUAUUCAUGUAGUGAAUGUUAAGAUAGGUAAACUAAUUUUGUUCUUUGUUAUAUAUGUAAUUUAUAUACUUAAUAUUUACUAAUAUUUUUGCACACUUAUAAAUAGGUUCAUGUAUGAAUUGCUCCUCUCAUAAAAAUCCAGGAAAAGAAAACCAUGAGCAAGCUUCAAAAGAUAAAGUUGAUGAUAAUGAAUCCGGUAAGUAGAUCAUUUAUUAAAAUGCACCUAUGGUUGUAAAAGCCUUGACCUUUUACACAAGAUAAGCUCACCUGGCUUACCAUUGGUUGUACUUGGUAUAAUAGAUCAAAGUAACCACCAAGAUGAGGUUUUAUAUAAUAUGAGAUUUUUAUUGGUCAUACUAGUAAAAUAGAUCAAGGUAACCACCAGGAUGAGGUUUUAUAUAAUAUGAGAUUUUUAUUGGAUGUAACUUAGUAUAAUAGAUCAAGGUAACCACCAGGAUGAGGUUUUAUAUAAUAUGAGAUUUUUAUUGGAUGUACUUGGUAUAAUAGAUCAAGGUAACCACCAGGAUGAGGUUUUAUAUAAUAUGAGCUUUUUAUUGGUUGUACUUAGUGAAAUAGAUCAAGGUAACCACCAGGAUGAGGUUUUAUAUAAUAUGACCUUUUUAUUGGUUGUAAAUAGUAUAAUAGAUCAAGGUAACCACCAGGAUGAGGUUUUAUAUAAUAUGAGCUUUUUAUUGGAUUGUACUUAGUAUAAUAGAUCAAGGUAACCACCAGGAUGAGGUUUUAUAUAAUAUGACCUUUUUAUUGGUUGUACUUAGUAUAAUAGAUCAAGGUAACCACCAGGAUGAGGUUUUAUAAUAAAUGAGCUUUUUAUUGGUUGCACUAGUAUAAUAGAUCAAGGACCACCAGGAUGGUUUUAUGUAAUAUGAGCUUUUUAUUGGAUGAACUUAGUAUAAUAGAUCAAGGUAACCAGCAGGAUGAGGUUUUAUAUAAUAUGAGCUGCUUUAUUGGAUGUUCUUAGUAUAAUAGAACAAGGUAACCACCAGGAUGAGGUUUUAUAUAAUAUGAGCUUUUUAUUGGAUAUACUUAGUGUAAUAGAUCAAGGUAACCACCAGGAUGAGGUUUUAUAUAAAAUGAGCUUUUUAUUGGUUGCACUAGUAUAAUAGAUCAAGGUUACCACCACGAUGAGGUUUUAUGUAAUAUGAGCUUUUUAUUGUUUGUACUUAGUAUAAUAAAUCAAGGUAACCACCAGGAUGAGGUUUCAUAUAAUAUGAGCUUCUUUAUUGGUUGUACUUAGUAUAAUAGAACAAGGUUACCACCAGGAUGAGGUUUUACAUAAUAUGAGCUUUUUAUUGGAUAUACUUAGUGUAAUAGAACAAGGUAGCCACCAGGAUGAGGUUUUAUAUACUAUGAGCUUUUUAUUGGAUAUACUUAGUAUAAUAGAUCAGGGUAACUACCAGGAUGAGGUUUUAUAUAAUAAGAGCUUUUUAUUGGAUUACUUAGUAUAAUAGAUCAAGGUAACCACCAGGAUGAGGUUUUAUAUAAUAUGAGCUUUUUAUUGGUUGCACUAGUAUAAUAGAUCAAGGUAUCCACCAGGAUGAGGUUUUAUAUAAUAUGAGCUUUUUAUUGGUUGUACUUAGUAUAAUAGAAUCAAGGUAACCACCAGGAUGAGGUUUCAUAUAAUAUGAGCUUUUUAUUGGUUGUACUUAGUAUAAUAGAACAAGGUUACCACCAGGAUGAGGUUUUACAUAAUAUGAGCUUUUUAUUGGAUAUACUUAGUGUAAUAGAACAAGGUAGCCACCAGGAUGAGGUUUUAUAUACUAUGAGCUUUUUAUUGGAUAUACUUAGUAUAAUAGAUCAGGGUAACUACCAGGAUGAGGUUUUAUAUAAUAUGAACUUUUUAUUGGUUGCACUAGUAUAAUAGAUCAGGGUAACCACCAAGAUGAGGUUUUUAUAUAAUAUGAGCUUUUUAUUGGUUGCACUAGUAUAAUAGAUCAAGGUAACCACCAGGAUGAGGUUUUAUAUAAUAUGAGCUUUUUAUUGGUUGUACUUAGUAUAAUAGACCAAGGUAACCACCAGGAUGAGGUUUUAUAAAAUGAGCUUUUUAUUGGUUGCACUAGUAUAAUAGAUCAAGGUUACCACCAGGAUGAAGUUUUAUGUAAUAUGAGCUUUUUAUUGCUUGUAUUUAGUAUAAUAAAUCAAGGUAACCAGCAGGAUGAGGUUUUAUAUAAUAUGAGCUGCUUUAUUGGAUGUUCUUAGUAUAAUAGAACAAGGUAACCACCAGGAUGAGGUUUUAUAUAAAUAUGAGCUUUUUAUUGGAUUGUACUUAGUAUAAUAGAUCAAGGUAACCACCAGGAUGAGGUUUUAUAUAAUAUGAGAUUUUUAUUGGAUUGUACUUAGUAUAAUAGAUCAAGGUAACCACCAGGAUGAGGUUUUAUAUAAUAUGAGCCUUUUUAUUGGUUGUACUUAGUAUAAUAGAUCAAGGUAACCACCAGGAUGAGGUUUUAUAUAAUAUGAGCCUUUUUAUUGGUUGUACUUAGUAUAAUAGAUCAAGGUAACCACCAGGAUGAGGUUUUAUAUAAUAUGAGCUUUUUAUUGGUUGUACUUAGUAUAAUAGAUCAAGGUAACCACCAGGAUGAGGUUUUAUAUAAUAUGAGCUUUUUAUUGGUUGUACUUAGUAUAAUAGAUCAAGGUAACCACCAGGAUGAGGUUUUAUAUAAUAUGAGCUUUUUAUUGGUUGUACUUAGUAUAAUAGAUCAAGGUAACCACCAGGAUGAGGUUUUAUAUAAUAAUGAGCUUUUUAUUGGAUUGUACUUAGUAUAAUAGAUCAAGGUAACCACCAGGAUGAGGUUUUAUAUAAUAUGACUUUUUUAUUGGUUGUACUUAGUAUAAUAGAUCAAGGUAACCACCAGGAUGAGGUUUUACAUAAUAUGAGCUUUUUAUUGGUAUACUUAGUGUAAUAGAACAAGGUAGCCACCAGGAUGAGGUUUUAUAUACUAUGAGCUUUUUAUUGGAUAUACUUAGUAUAAUAGAUCAGGGUAACUACCAGGAUGAGGUUUUAUAUAAUAUGAACUUUUUAUUGGUUGCACUAGUAUAAUAGAUCAGGGUAACCACCAAGAUGAGGUUUUAUUCAAUAUGAGCUUUUUAUUGGUUGCACUAGUAUAAUAGAUCAAGGUAUCCACCAGGAUGAGGUUUUAUAUAAAAUGAGCUUUUUAUUGGUUGUACUUAGUAUAAUAGACCAAGGUAACCACCAGGAUGAGCUUUUUAUUGGUAUGAACUUAGUAAAUAGAUCAGGUAACUCCAGGAUGAGGUUUAUUAUAUGAGGUUUUUAUUGUAUGAACUUAGUAUAAUAGAUCAAGGUAACCACCAGGAUGAGGUUUAUAUAAUAAAGCUUUUUAUUGAUGAACUUAUUAAUAGAUCAACGUAACCACCAGGAUGAGGUUUUAUAUAAUAUGAGGUUUUUAUGUAUGAACUUAGUAUAAUAGAUCAAGUAACCACCAGGAUGAGGUUUUAUAAUAAGAGCUUUUUAUUGAGAACUAGUAUGAAGAUCAAGUAACCACCAGGAUGAGUUUUUAUAAUAUGAGAUUUUAUUUGUACUUGUAUAAUAGAUCAAGGUAACCACCAGAUGAAGGUUUAUAUAAAUAUGAGCUUUUUAUGUUGUACUUAGUAAAUAGAUCAAGGUAACCCAGGAUAGGUUUUAUAUAAUAUGACUUUUUAUUGGUUGUACUUAGUUAAUAGAUCAAGGUAACCACCAGGAUGAGGUUUAUAUAAAAAGAGCUUUUUAUUAGAUAACUAGUAAAUAGAUCAAGGUAACCACCAGGAUGAGGUUUUAUAUAAAUGUUUUUAUUGGUUGUACUUAGUUUCUGAGUCUAUAAUAGAUAUUGGUGAACUUAGUACUUUUUAUAUAAUAAGGAUUUGUGACCGGUUGUAUGUAAAUCUGUCCGUGAUGAACUCAACCAAAGGUUGACAACUACCAAUAAUGGAUUGGGUUUGAAGUUAAAAAUGGAGUUUCAGUUGUCCGUGCAUACGCAUGAACUGUUCUACCCCCAAAUCUGAUGCAAAAGGAGCAAUUUAAUAAUGAUUUUGAACUUCAGGAUAUGUUAUAGAUUGAAAAAUGGUUCCAGUAUUACUGAACUGUUCCCUAAGUAAAUUUUAUAUGUUAUGAUGACAAAUAGAGUAAGUUAAUGACGAUUUUGACUUUUACCAGAAUGGUUUUGAAAUGAGGUUUUCCAUCGUUGUGCAUUUUCUCAUAACCAUUCAACCAAAUUUUGAAAUUUUUAUAUGUUGUUAGAGCAAAUUAAAAGUCAAGUCAAUUAUGACAUUUUGACUUUACCAGGUUGGUUCUUGAAAGAUGUGAGCGUUUUCACGUUGUUACUCAUGAACCAUUCUAAGGAUGUGAUACGACAAAUUUGAAUUGACGAUUUCACUUUCAGUAAUGUUCUUGUGAUUAUAGAACAAAUAGGUUUGCUGUCUUGUACAGCCUCUUGAUUGGAUGAACUUAAAAUAGCAAGGUUUUUUAUAUGGAUUGGAUGAACUUAGUAUACAUAGUUAACCACCAGGAUGAGGUUUUAUAUAAUAUGAGGUUUUUAUUGGAUGAACUUAGUAUAAUAGAUCAAGGUAACCACCAGGAUGAGGUUUUAUAUAAUAAGAGCUUUUUAUUGGAUGAACUUAGUUUAGAUAAUAGAUCCACCAGGAUGAGGUUUUACUAUUGAACUUGUAUAAUAGAUCUAACCACCAGGAUGAGGUUUUUAUAAUAAGAGCUUUUUAUUAGAUGAACUUAGUAUAAUAGAUCAAGGUAACCACCAGGAUGAGGUUUUAUAUAAAAGAGCUUUUUAUUGGUUGUAUUUAGUACAAUAGAUCAAGGUAACCACCAGGAUGAGGUUUUUAUAUAAUAUAACCUUUUUAUUGGUUGUACUUAUUACAAUAUACCAAGGUAAUUAUCAGGAUGAGGUUUUUAUAUAAAAUGAGCAUUUAAUUGGUUGGACUUAGUACACUAGAUCAAGGUAACCACCAGGAUGAGGUUUUAUAUAAUAUGAGCUUUUUAUUGGUUGUACUUAGUGUAAUAGAUCAAGGUAACCACCAGGAUGAGGUUUUAUAUAAUAAGAGCUUUUUAUUGAUUGUACUAGGUAUAAUAAAUCAAGUUAUCCACCACACCAUGAAGUGAUACUUAACUACAAAAUUUAAAGAAUUUCUACCAAUAUGAAUACAAGGCUAUGUAUUACUUUAUUUCUCAUUUUCAUGCCCCACCUGCGAUAGUAGAGGGGCAUUAUGUUUUCUGGUCUGUGCCUCCAUUUGUCCGUCCGUCUGUCCCGCUUCAGGUUAAAGUUUUUGGUCAAGGUAGUUUUUGAUGAAGUUGAAGUCCAAUCAACUUGAAACUAGUAUACAUGUGCCCUAUGAUAUGAUCUUUCUAAUUUAAAUGCCAAAUUAGAGUUUUGACCCCAAUUUUACGGUUCACUGAAAUAGAAAAUGAUAGUGCAAAUUUCAGGUUAAGUUUUUGGUCAAGGUAGUUUUUUGAUAAAGUAGAAGUCCAAUCAACUUGAAACUUAAUGUACAUGUUCCCUUUGAUAACAUCAUUCUAAUUUAAAUGCCAAAUUAGAGAAUUUUUUCUAAUUUCACGGUCCACUAAACAUAGAAAAUGAUAGUGCGAGUGGGGCAUCCGUGUACUGUGGACACAUUCUUGUUGUUUUCUUUUUCAGAAUAGCUGAUAAUUAUCUUUACUUUUUCAUGCUGGAAGGAGCUUGGUGUGUUUCUGGAGGAAAUUGGUGAAUUAUGUUCUACUACAGAAGAGCAUGUAAUAAAUAUAUUGAAGAGGAAACAACCAAAGUAGUAGAUCUGUGUUGGCUACACUUCUGAUAAUUUUAUAUGUUUCGAAUGUCUGGAUCAUUUUAUUUUUAAGUACAAAUGGAUCAAAGCGUCCAUUGAAGGG